Long non-coding RNA from Etheostoma spectabile (orangethroat darter), 126 nucleotides. RefSeq lists it as uncharacterized. The transcript has 3 exons. The record is from RefSeq and is a predicted model, not a curated record. Lineage: Eukaryota; Metazoa; Chordata; Actinopteri; Perciformes; Percidae.
UGAGGUUGAAAAUCAGCUGUUCCACUUAGCGCUCCCCCUAGAGGCCUGGAGAACUUCCGCUGUCUAAACUGGAUGCAGCAGGGUUUUUAUUGUUGCAUUUGUUUUCAGGGAUUGUGUGCUUUUGUU